AAGGAAUAUUGGUCAAUGGACGCAAGUCUGAACCAGCCAUGCCGCGUGCAGGAUGACUGUCCUAUGGAUUGUAAACUGCUUUUGCAGGGGAAUAAAGUGCAUCACGUGUGAUGUUUUGUAUGUACUCUGCGAAUAAGGAUCGGCUAACUCCGUGCCAGCAGUCGCGGUAAUACGGAGGAACCGAGCGUUAUCCGGAUUUAUUGGGUUUAAAGGGUGCGUAGGCGGGAUAAUAAGUCAGUGGUGAAAGUUUGCAGCUUAACUGUAAAAUUGCCGUUGAAACUGUUAUUCUUGAGAGUAGAUAAGGUAGGCGGAAUGUGUUGUGUAGCGGUGAAAUGCAUAGAUAUAACACAGAACCCCGAUUGCGAAGGCAGCUUACCGGGCUACAUCUGACGCUGAUGCACGAAAGCGUGGGGAUCAAACA
Molecule: ribosomal RNA, 421 nt
Filed under: uncultured Bacteroidota bacterium
Lineage: Bacteria; Pseudomonadati; Bacteroidota
Description: bacterial SSU rRNA
Rfam family: Bacterial small subunit ribosomal RNA
Source: RNAcentral